Molecule: transfer RNA, 72 nt
Filed under: Capra hircus (goat)
Lineage: Eukaryota; Metazoa; Chordata; Mammalia; Artiodactyla; Bovidae
Also listed under: 1 other name
Rfam family: tRNA
About the family: Transfer RNA (tRNA) molecules are approximately 80 nucleotides in length. Their secondary structure includes four short double-helical elements and three loops (D, anti-codon, and T loops).
Source: Rfam by way of RNAcentral
UCCCUGGUAGCUCAGUUGAUAAAGAGUCUGCCUGCAGUGCAGGAGACCCAGGUUCAACCCCUGGAGGGGGAA